ACUUGUGCCCAGAGUUUGAUUUUCCACAGACCAGGUAGAGGCCAAGAGCCUCUCACAGACUCUGCAGCAGGGUUGCUAUGAUUAACUCUUAAGUACUCCACAACUACACGCUUUUGAAACUGGCGUUGGCAUAGCGUUAGUUCUGUGCAGGGCGGACGCAGCAGGACAGAAUCUCCCUGGGCAUCUUUUCGGAGCAUCAAUUUUACUGCAAAAUUUUGAAAAAACAAAUUUAAUUGAUUUCCAAGGUUUGUCAAGGAGGACAGAAACUCAGAGCACCCUGCACUUGGGGAUCGGCACUAGGAGCUGCUCUCUGGAUGGGGAGAUGGGAGCUAGCAGCUCACAAUGGGGUCACAAGACAGGAGUGUUAUUGGGAGAAUCCUGUUUUGUUGACAAAUACUGAGAUCAUCCAACUCACCAGGCAAAGUUGACUUGUGUAAGUGAUCUUCAGAUAUGAAAAGUGUGGAACCCAGCUGCUCCUCCUCAGAUAGGCGACAUGACAAUUGUAGGCCUGGAGGGAGAUGAGUUGACAACAUCCCUUCCCUAUAACCACUUGUUGGAUCUGAUCUCACAUACACAGACUCACUCCAAAGACUGACCUGGGUGUCUGCUUCUCAGCUUCAUUAACAGUGGGUGCUCACAAGUCUAGUGGAGAGAAUGUCUGAGAAGAGGAGGACCUUGACUGCUCCUGAACCGGAGACCUCAGAACCAUGGUGCUCUCCUGUCCAGGCUGAACACUAAUGCUCUUGAGAGUCACAUUGAAGAAAGCCAACAUUUUUAAAUCUAAUGGAUACAUUCAUUUUGUGUAGUAACAGGAUCUUCUACACUGUAGCUGCUUCCAGUGUGAGCCAGACAAAUGUACUGAAUAUAGGCCUCAGAGGUGAUCCCACCACCUUCACAGCAAUGGUCCUUCCCCAGGAGCUUCCCCUGAGAAACGGGCCAUCCAGACCAUACUGCUGCUGAAUAAUGUCUCAUUGGAAAUCUCAACAUUCUUCAUUUAGAACACCACCGCCAAUAUCUACCAUAUGCCGGGAUUAUUGUGCAGGGUAAUUUUUAUUAUUACUUGAAUGUAUAUUUAUAUACUGCAGGAACUAUACAUGUUUAUGGCUAGAAUUACUGUUUUUCCUUAAUAUUAAGAUAGUAUUGGUAGAUUUAAUUAUCUGAAUUUAGUCAUUUGGCUCCAGUCAAAAUGGUUUCUCCUUAGCAGUACUCUGACUUUGUAAAAGUAAUCACAUUUGGAUUCUGUUUCCUCCAGUAGUUUUUAAAAUGAUUUUUUUGAUUAUUCAUAUAACUUUUUUUUAAUGAUCUUUUAAAAACUAGUAUGUGGUUAUAUAUUACUUGUUACACUUUUUGUUUUCUUUAUUUUUUGGUUGGUUACACCUUAAAUGAUUAUUUCUAUUGCCUUUUAAUGUUACUUAGAAAAUAUCACAUGUAAGACUUUUGCUUUUAUAAAGUUAGUAAUACAUUUUCAAGCCUAAACUCUUGAAAUUUUAAUAAUUUCUAUGAUAUUUGAAAAUUAUUUUUAUCUUCUUUUGAGUGCUAAAAGAUAAUAUUUGUCUACCUGAUUAACUAGCACAACUUUUAAAAAGUUAUUUAGCACUCUUUAUAUUCAUUCAUUUGUUUU
Molecule: long non-coding RNA, 1621 nt
Filed under: Homo sapiens (human)
Lineage: Eukaryota; Metazoa; Chordata; Mammalia; Primates; Hominidae
Description: HSALNT0341082
Source: RNAcentral